This 512-nucleotide ribosomal RNA is filed under the name uncultured bacterium. Its description in RNAcentral is "bacterial SSU rRNA". It matches the Rfam family "Bacterial small subunit ribosomal RNA", at positions 28 to 498 of the family's 1533-position model. The record is from RNAcentral.
GACGAACGCUGGCGGCGUGCCUAAUACAUGCAAGUCGAACGCACUUUCGUUAGAUUGAAGAAGCUUGCUUCUGAUUGAUAACAUUUGAGUGAGUGGCGGACGGGUGAGUAACACGUGGGUAACCUGCCCUAAAGUGGGGGAUAACAUUUGGAAACAGAUGCUAAUACCGCAUAAACCUAGCACCGCAUGGUGCAAGGUUGAAAGAUGGUUUCGGCUAAUCACUUUAGGAUGGACCCGCGGUGCAUUAGUUAGUUGGUGAGGUAAAGGCUCACCAAGACCGUGAUGCAUAGCCGACCUGAGAGGGUAAUCGGCCACACUGGGACUGAGACACGGCCCAGACUCCUACGGGAGGCAGCAGUAGGGAAUCUUCCACAAUGGACGAAAGGUCUGAUGGAGCAACGCCGCGUGAGUGAAGAAGGUUUUCGGAGUCGUAAAACUCUGUUGUUGGAGGAAGAACGUAUUUGAUAGUAACUGAUCAGGUAGUGACGGUAUCCAACCAGAAAGACCACGGA